UACGUAGGGGGCGAGCGUUGUCCGGAUUUAUUGGGCGUAAAGAGCGUGUAGGCGGCCAGGUAGGUCUGCUGUGAAAACUCGAGGCUCAACCUCGAGACGUCGGCGGAAACCAUCUGGCUAGAGUCCGGAAGAGGAGAGUGGAAUUCCUGGUGUAGCGGUGAAAUGCGUAGAUAUCGGAAGGAACAUCAGUGGCGAAAGCGGCUUCCUGGACCAGCACCGACGUUCAGGCACGAAAGCGUGGGGAGCAAACAGG
RNAcentral lists this ribosomal RNA (253 nucleotides) under uncultured bacterium. RNAcentral's name for it is "partial 16S ribosomal RNA". It matches the Rfam family "Bacterial small subunit ribosomal RNA", at positions 524 to 776 of the family's 1533-position model. The record is from RNAcentral.